CGUGAGUGCCCACAACAAAUGGGGCGCUGUAUCAAAGUUGAGCAACGUGGUCUUCGACUGCGCGGGCGCCGCGAACGCGUGGUACCGCAACCACGAAUCUGACCUUCGCACCUGGUUCGACUUCAAGAGGGCGGCGCUUUCGCUCUGAUCGCUUCGGCCACAGAGCAACAUAGUACAGGUCAAGAGUGCACGAGUGCACACUCCAGCUGUUUCACGGCCGAGCUACGGAGAUUCGCCGAUUCCGUUAGGUGACAGAGCACGCCAAGAAAUAUGUGGCUGCGGCUGCGGCCGUGGCUAGCAGCUUGACAGGCGGCUCGACCCAGCACGUGCGAAGCCCAGUCAAGCCCCGUCGCCGGGCUCUACGUUCGCGCUGGCGGCGACGUUAUUCUGUAAAAUACGCCCGAGGAUCGUUGUCGGGCUCUUCUGCCAGCGUCUGACUAUGGUCUGACACUACUGCUUCGUCACCGUUUCACGCAAGGAGUGGUGAUUCCAGCGAUAACAGCGACGUGGCAGCGUCCGAGCUGCGAGGACAAGGACCUGCGUGAAGCGAGUCUCGCGAAACUUAGGACCGGCAAGCAGGCAUCGGCGACAACUGGGGUAUGCAGCAAGCACAGACGCGAGGAACAUUUGUGCUACUGCGCCGGGACUGCAA
Molecule: RNA transcript, 652 nt
Organism: Dermacentor albipictus
Lineage: Eukaryota; Metazoa; Arthropoda; Arachnida; Ixodida; Ixodidae
Gene name: neurogenin-3-like
Source: RefSeq, a predicted model, not a curated record